RNAcentral lists this long non-coding RNA (3560 nucleotides) under Canis lupus familiaris (dog). Its description in RNAcentral is "lncRNA (ENSCAFG00845013541.1)". The record is from RNAcentral. Lineage: Eukaryota; Metazoa; Chordata; Mammalia; Carnivora; Canidae.
GGUGCGUGCUCAGUGGUUGUUUGUUGAGUGAACAAGUGAAUCCGUGUCCACCUGGCAUGUAAUACAGGGGGUACAAGGGGCCUAGAAAGGCAGAGAACUCUUGGUGAAGAAGGCUCUUCUGUACUUCAGGGGUGGGGUGUGGACAGGCAGGGCUUGGAAUCCCAGUGACGGUGGCAGGUGAGGUCUCAGAUGCAUCGCAUGCCCUAUUAGCCAUGUCCUAGUCUCCGAGGAUGUCUCAGUCACCGCCGUUAUGUUUGGGCAGUGUUUUGUCAGUUACGAGAUGCUUUUCCAUUUAAUCUUCUCAUUUGGCCCUUAAAACAUGCCCGUGAAAGAGAUUAUUCCCAUUUCGGAGAAAACUGACAUCCAGAGAAGUUAACUCACCAAAUUUCCUGUAGUGGAGGAGUGACAGGGUCAGACUUGAACUCAUCAAUAAGGGUGGUUGGUUAAUGAUUCAUAUGAGGUUCCUAAGGAUGCUUAAGAUGCUUAUUUAAAGAAGUUGCUAGAAAAAACAUUAAAAAAAAAAAGAAGUUGCUCUUUGUGGGGGUGGGGAGGUAGCCUGGUGUAAGAUGCAGGUUGGGAGACGGUGGCCCCCAUGAUGAUUCUCAGAUCCGUUCUGGCUAGCACCGCGCUGUGGUCUGAAGGUUCAGGUCCCCUCUCCGCUCCCAAUUCAUCUGUUGAAAUCCUAACCUCCAAGGGUGAUGGUAUUAGGAGGUGGGGCCUUUGAGAGGCUUUCAAGUCAUGAAGGUGGAGCCCUCACGGAUGGGAUUAGUGCCUUAGACUCGAGUCUCCAGAGAGCUCUCUUGCCCAUGAAGUUCAGCAGAUUUCUGUGGACGGUGCCGGCCUGCGGUCCCCCCCAUCAGGCCAGCUUCUUGCAUGCCUGCACAUGAAUUUGCAGUCCCUGCUGAAUGAGAAGGAAGCCCGGCUUGGGGAGGGCAGCCUGGGGUUCGAGCCAGGACUCUGACACUCGCUCUGCUACCCUGGGAGAUUUACCUCUGCUCUCCGUGCCUGGUUUCAUUUCCUGAUGAGGACUGUGGGCUUAAUUUCCAACUUUGUACAACAGAAACUUUCUCUCCCACACACCUCUGAAUUUACCCUUGGUGGGCUGCUGCCUGCCAGCGCCGAUCUGAGCUUCCCCUGCCGGCGGCCCCUCCUCCUGGCCUGAUUCACAGCUCUCCGGCUGCUUCCGCAUCUUUGGGGAGCCUCGUCUCUGGCAGGCCCCCCCCCAUUCCACAGGGGGGUUGCAUUCUGGAUUGUUCCGCUUGGCUUGUUGUUUACAAAAUGAGAGGCUGACUAUGUUUCUCUUUCUUUUUUGGUUAAUAUCUGCAAUUUGCCCUCAUUUAAUCCAUCUAUAUCAGCUAUUAGUUUGCUCACCUUCCACAAUUAUUUUCAUGCACCCUUGGGCUCAUAAACCAUUGUUCCAAGUGGUGUGUUGCCUAUUUUAAGAACUUAAUUUGUUUGUAAUGUGCACAUCAGCUGCAUGAUUUGUUUCUUGCUUGUAAUUAACUUUUAAGCCGAUGCCAUUCCCCCGCCAAAAACGAAGCUCAAGGUAAAGUCAGUAAGAUUAAUCAUGCUGGCUGCAUCCAAAUCUUCCGACAUCUUCCUCGGACUCAGCAAGUUUGGGGGAAAUGAUAUUUUUUUUCCUUCCACUUCCAUCUGUUACCCUGCCGAACUUGGAGUCAGUCCAUCCAUUAGUGGGCUUGAGUGUCAGAGUUGGAAUCUGACACUUUUCAGUUUCUGUACCAAGAUAAGCAAGCUCUUCUUCCAAACCCUCUCACCCUGCAACUUGAACCCAUCUCUUCCUUUCUGAGAGGGUUCCUGGACCCAUGAAUCAUGAAAUGGUUGUAUAAUACGUCCCGGCUUCCCUUAUCGCUGUUGCCAAUUUCCACCGUCUUCUGUGAGGACAUAAAUCGGCAGUGUCUUGGACUCAUCAUCUGCGUCGGUGGGGGCAAGUGAUCGGGUUGGGUAUAGCUAACUUUAUUAAUCUUCCCAUUUAACAACACCCUAUCUGCGGUUCGCAGGUGAAAUCAACUUUCCUUUGUGGCUAAGCAGACUUGGAAACUGGGUUGUACUAGAUCGGUGCUUCUCCAGCCUUGCUGUGUAUGCACGCCUCUGGGAGACCGUGCUGAAAUAAAGUACAGAUUCUGAUUUAGUAGGUCUAGGACGGGCCCUGAGAACCUGCAUUUUAACCAGCUCCCAGAAGAGGCCAACGCUGACAGGUCCAGGACCACACUUGGAGAGGUGGGCACCGGGUUGCGGUCUUCACGAAGACGGGAAUUAUGUCAGUCUUGUUCCUCACUGGCAUACGGAAGCUCUCAACUAUUUGCAGACUGAAUGAGUCAAUGAAUGAGCUACACUCAGAUAUAUAGAUUAUCCUCUAUCAGAUCGAUCUUACAGGAGUGAGAGGUCUUCUUUCUUAUUCACACACUCAGAGAGAGAGAGAGAGAGAGAAAAGUAGUAAUUUAUAUAUUUCCCAAUUUAGGAAGGGCUAAAUGUCAUACGCUGAUUUAUCUCCUCCAUAUAUAUGGUAUUUAUGUGUGCGCACACACAUAUGUUUGGCUUUUGGAGAUGAAUUUAUAGUAACAGAACUGCUCUUCACCAUGCGUCUCUUUCUAAGUAUAGCCUGCCUGCCUUCAUCCGAAAGGGCCCGCUUCCAGAGAGCCCUGCAAACUGAGAAAUCCUUGUUCCUGCUUUAAAAAUUUCUUCAGAGAGCUGCCUGGUUCUCCCUCUGAAGCACUGGCUUUUCCAACAUUCUUCUAGUCCCCGAUGACAUCAAUGGAGGUGCUUCAAUUAAGUGCUUUCCGUAAUCCUUCUUCCCUUGAACAUCCUGAAGCUUCUGGUAUUUUUCAGCUACUACAGAUGGGUUGUUAAUUUUUCCAGAGGCCGAGAUUAUGGAUCCAACGCAUACGCAAAAAGACUGUUUUCUGGGAACCGGAAGUCGGGACAGGAAAUCUGAUGAGGGUGCAGAGUACUUAAAGAGUCAGAGGGGCAGAGUACUUAAAAUUGGACCCGUUUCCUGAUGCAUCUGAUUUUAUAUGUGGGAUUUCAGAUUCGUUUUCUCUGGGAGGGCCUCCAGAUUGUCUCGGUGCUCGGGUCCCCCUGAACCUCUUCUUCCAAGACAGGCUGUGGGUUCUUUCGGAUUUCUCCCCUGGGCUUCCUGAAAUGUUGUGGACUCUUGGGGUUUCCUGGCUCAACCCCAAUGUGGGACAUGGGGAAAAGCCAAAGGUAGAGUUGCUGAGAGGUUGUGUGCCCAAGGCCUGGUGGCUAAGAGGUGGUAGAGACCCUCCCACUGACUCAGGCAGUCUGACCCGGAGCUGGCAGUCUUAACUAUUAAGCUCUGCAGUCAUGCUUCUCAAACUUCAUGUACUCAGGACCCUCAUGGGGACCUUGUUAAAAUGCAGAGUCUGAUCCUGGUGGGUCUGGGUUGGAGUCUAAGACUCUACCGUUCCAACAAGCUUCCAGAUGAUGUUCACCUUGUUGAUCUGUGAUGCACAUUCUGAGAACCAUUGGUCUAGCAGGUCUCAGCCCUGACUGCACAAUGAAAGCUUAAAAAAAAAAAAAAA